Molecule: ribosomal RNA, 106 nt
Filed under: Heterocephalus glaber (naked mole-rat)
Lineage: Eukaryota; Metazoa; Chordata; Mammalia; Rodentia; Bathyergidae
Source: RNAcentral
GUCUAUGGCCAUACCACCCUGAAUGCGCCUGAUCUCGUCUGAUCUCAGAAGCUAAGCAGGGUCGGGCCUGGUUAGUACUUGGAUGGGAGAACAAUGGUCACAAAUU